Molecule: ribosomal RNA, 254 nt
Filed under: uncultured bacterium
Lineage: Bacteria
Description: partial 16S ribosomal RNA
Rfam family: Bacterial small subunit ribosomal RNA
Source: RNAcentral
GACGUAGGAGGCGAGCGUUGUCCGGAUUCAUUGAGCGUAAAGAGCGCGCAGGCGGCUUGGUAAGUCGGAUGUGAAAUCCCGAGGCUCAACCUCGGGUCUGCAUCCGAUACUGCCCGGCUAGAGGUAGGUAGGGGAGAUCGGAAUUCCUGGUGUAGCGGUGAAAUGACGCAGAUAUCAGGAGGAACACCGGUGGCGAAGGCGGUUCUCUGGGCAUUACCUGACGCUGAGGAGCGAAAGCAUGGGGAGCGAACAGG